Molecule: ribosomal RNA, 271 nt
Filed under: uncultured archaeon
Lineage: Archaea
Description: partial 16S ribosomal RNA
Rfam family: Archaeal small subunit ribosomal RNA
Source: RNAcentral
CAGCGCCACGAGUGGCAACCGUAUUUAUUGGGCCUAAAGCGUCCGUAGCCGGUUUGGUAAGUCUUUUGUGAAAUCGUUGGGCUUAACUUAACGAUGUGCAUGAGAUACUGCCAAACUAGGAACUGGUAAGGGUCAGAGGUAUUCUGGGGGGAGCGGUAAAAUGCUAUAAUCCUCGGAGGACCGCCUGUGGCGAAAGCGUCUGACUAGAACAGCUUCGACGGUGAGGGACGAAAGCUAGGGGAGCAAAACGGAUUAGAUACCCGAGUAGUCC